AGAGAAGCGGCGCGCGGCCAGGAGCCCCCGCUCCGCCACUGCCGUGCCUGCCUCCCGCAGCUGUCUGCCAUGCGCUCGCCGGGGCAGGGGCGCCCGGAGGGCGGCUAGAGCUGGGCCUGAGCCCGGGAACGCGCCUGAUCAGGGGUGGCGGAGCCGCGGUCCCCACAGCCGCCCCACCCGCGCCGCUGCCUCGCUGGGGCCCGGGCCCCCUUCCCGGUCCGAAGCCCCAGAGAGAUUGGUGAGGGUGAUUUCCCAGGAAGACGCAGUGUGCUCUGACUUCUGUGACAGUGAGCAACGGGACCAGUGGAUGUCCAGAUGCUGGCAAUGAGUAGGCCUUCCCUACGCUGGGUGGCGUCCACACCCUCCGGCUUCCAUUGCCUGGGUCUCCUGGAGGUGGUUUGCUGGAUGAAUACCGCAUGCACAGAGGCUGGCCUUGGGUUUGAAUAUGGCAGCCAGUGGACAGCAUGUGCUUCAGUUAUGAGACUGCCCAGGAGAUGCUUCUUCCAAGGCAGAGCACGUGCAGAGUCCAGUGCUGGAGAGGCCGGGUGCGCAGUUGACCCAUUUCCAGUUCUGUUUUCCCUCUCAUGUUCCUCUGUCCCCAUCUAGGACAUGCUCUGGAGUCAGAAGACAGCGAAAAGAGAAGCAGAAGCCCCGGUGGCAAGAGUCUGAAGCUGGAAAGGAGGAGAACAUGAAACAUUGCUUGAAGACAAUGGCCGAGACAGCAGGUCCCACCCUGCACAGCCACCAGCAUCUCUCCCCUCAGCCCUGUCUCCUCUUCUGCAGUUGGGAUCUGCACAUUUAAGCCUGAAAUUGUCCUGUGAAGUGAAGUAUGAUCGGACAGCCUCUUUUCAGCUUUUAUGACAAUGGAGACAGAGGAAUUGUGGCUCUUGCCAAGGUCACAGGAUUGGAAUACAGAGCCAAGCCACCCCAGGACAUGCAAGAGCCUCAGAAGGGAAAAAAGCCCAGCAGGAAGGGAGAACAAGUAGCCUCUGUCCUGAAGUUGUAACAGCCAGGGGCCAGGAUGGAGGAGGAGGACCCCAUAAUCUGCCCAUCUGGGACUUGGCAGGGGACCUGGGAAAAUGUACCCCAACCCAUCCCUUAAGGGCCUUUGUCUUUGGCCCAUUGGCCUAGCAUCUACUUCUUCACCGUGUCUGUUCUUGUCACACCUAGUCAGGUCUGUUUGGGUCUGAGGUGCAUGGAACAUUCUGGGUAGGCCUCCAGCAAACGGAAGCUCUUCACCGUGUUUCCAGCCUGGGACCAAGGGCAGCAUACUGGCAAAGUUGCCAAAGCAAGGGACUCCAGCCUCUUAGGAGUUAAUGACUCCCUCUCCCCAGCUGUCCUCCCCUUGGUGCUCCUCUUCCUCCCUCCUCCUGCUCACAGCAGGCAGGGCCUAGACCCGGGAGCCAUGCUGCUGUGCUGUUGCCAGGGGAGCACGGAGGCAGAUCUGAGCUAUGCAGGGAAAAGGCCCAGCCUGUCAAAGUGUCUGAGAUGAACCGCCGCCGUCCCUGUGCAGCUGGGCUCAGACGUGUCUCAGCUCUUGUUCUGUGCCUGAGAAUGGCGAAACCCAGUGAGGUUCAAGGGCAAACUCGCUAUUCAUUAGUCAGGGGUUCUUGACGUCCCGUCUCUCCCAGGGAUGAGUUCCCCCCUCCUCUUUCUCCCCCUCCUAUGACACAUUCCUGGGUGCCUUUGGUGAGGACUGCACACCCUCCUCCUGCCUAGCCCCCUCUCCAAAGGCCCCUGAAUAAACUCCCCCCAAGGAGACCAGGCAGGGCAGAGACAAUGGCUGCAGGAAAUCAUUCAGGCGGGACAUGCUGGCCUGCCCUCCACCCAGUCCCCCUGUGGGCCCCACUCCCUUCUGAUUCAGGGCACCCUUGGGCCCCCAGCCUAUACAGGCCUGGACAGGAAGAAACCACUGGGAACCACCCUAAGGACAACAUGCUAGUCCAGUGCCAUUCUUCGCUGGCUCUGUGGGUGCCUUUGUGGCCUGUACCGACUGGCUGGCUAAUUUUGUGGUUUCUGUACCAUCACAUGCCUAUUUUAAGACACUCUCCAGCACUGUCGGUUAGGGAGUGUAAAUUUUGCAAUAUUUUCUGAAAUGUGGCAAUAUCAAAAUGUAAAAGGCACACAUACUUGGUCACAAACAAAUGGCACUAUUUACUCUGUGGGCAUAUUUGUAAAAGUUGCCAAAGAAUUAUAUACAAGGAUGUUCAUCAGAGCAUUUCUUUUGAAGAGUAAAGAAAUGGACAUGAACCUGUGGUCCGUUCAUACGGUGGAAUACCUAUGCAGCUGUAAAAAUCAGUGUGGUAGAUCUCCGUAUAUGAGUUGAUGUGGAAGGUUGGCCAGUUCACAUGAUAAGGUGAAUAGAAUAAGUUACAGAACAGGCUGUAGAGUAUGAUCUUAUUUGUAGAUGUUUAAAACUGAGUCAUAAGUAUGCUUAUAUACAGAUCGUUUCUGGAAGUAUGUACUGGAAGUCUACCUCUGGGGAGUGGGGAUGGGGGAGUGCACUCUUCUAUACUGUUAUAUUUUCUUUUCAUGCUCCUAAGGUACUUUUAUUGGAAGAUGUAAAGCGGUUCAAUGUAAUAGGCUUAACUUCUGUCAACUAAGUUGGCGUGGGUGCUUUAAGAGGGUGGUAGUGAUGUUGCUGGAGAAAGUAUCCCACAGUCACUGGUGGCUUCAGCCACGGGCCAUUUUGGGGCCUAAUAAUCACAUAUCAUCAUGGUUGCUAGUGUUAAUCGAAAACCUACUAAGUGCCAGGCUUACUGUCUCUGGGUCUUGCUUACGUGGAUGUCAUUUUUCCAGUUGCACCAAAUCGAAAGAGGUUAAUUGGUUUGUUGGAGUUCCUUUGUAGGUGAAGGGCAGAGCCAGGAGCUUGGCUAGGGACAGGGGAGGUGAGUGGGGGAUGGUGGAUAGGUCUUGGCUCCCAGUUUCCUUCUGGGCAGACAUUGCCCCUCUGCCCUGAGGACCUGCUUGUUUGGGGGAAGAGGCCUUUAGAGGCACCAGGGUCAUGCCAGGUGUUGGACAUGGUGAACUGGGAAGUGCUCCCAUCUGGCCACAGCGCAGAAGUAUCACCGUGCUGGGGGAUGGGGAACAGGGCUGUGAAUGGGCCUAUUUGCAUAAGCAGCAUGUGUCUGGAGAGAAAGACAUCACAGAGCAGAAGAGUGCGGGUGCCCAGGAGUGCACUUGCCACCCCUACUUCAUCCCUGAAAGAGUAAAUGGCCUGGAAGGUGUCUCUGAGAGGUAAUGCCGCACACCACCCUCCCUGGGGGCAGGGUCAGGCUACACCUGCCUUAGGUCGGGGGCUGCAGCAGCCUGAGAGCUCUCAGUAGGGCCUCAGUAGCCUGGGAGGGAGCAGGGGCAGGGGGCAGGGAAAGAGGCGUAAUGGGGCUGUCCAGAGGGGCCUGGGAAACCUGGUCCCUGAGGCCUGGGCACAGCUACAAUCACUUCAAAUUGGCUGUGGGGCCAGUGGACUGGGAAGGAAAAAAGCAAUAAGAGUGACCAAGUGCAGAAGGCUGUCAGGUCCCAGGUCACAUGCCUUAGUGCAGUGACUCCUCAUCAUUUUAUGGGGUGUGGGUGUCGUUGGUACACCCAUUUUACAGAUGAGGACACCGAGGCCCAGAAAAGUUAAGUUACAUGUCCUAAGUCACACAGCUUGUAAGUGCCAGAACUGAGAUCAAAACCAAGUCUCUUUGACUUUAAAGUCUGUACUCUGACCCCAAAGAGAUCCUGUUUGGCCACUUAUAGGAGGUCCCUAAAGCUGCAGACUCCCCUUGCCGGCACCCACAUAUAGAGACAUUAACCCUUCCCCUGCAGGGUCACCUCAAAUAGUCUUUUAGCUGGGCUUCUCCUGCAAUUCCACCUAAUGCCAUCCCCUGGGUUUUGCCCAAACCUGAACUGGGCAGUGGGGUGAGAGGAGGGGUUUACAGGGUUACAGAGCCUCAUACAGAUAGGAGCCCAUGGCUGCUGGUCAUCUGCAUUCCUGCAGGAUUGGCUGUUCCUUGGGGUCCUUGGCAGGAAAAUGAGGAUUGCUCCGAGGCCUGCUCCAGUACUUCCCAGAGGCUGGCCUGGUGUGGGGCUCUGGGAAGGCUGAGGCUGGAGAAGCGUAAGUAGGAGGGCAGAGAUGGCACUCAGGUAGCUUGAAUCACCAGGACCCUUCCAAGCCCCACAGGUUCUGAGGGAGUACUAGGGCCAGCUCUGGGAGAGGUCUCUUCCUAUGCUGUGAACCCCCUGCCUUUCUUGCAGCCUACAACGAAUAAAUUUUCUUUGCAA
This 4266-nucleotide long non-coding RNA is filed under the name Homo sapiens (human). Its description in RNAcentral is "MIR9-3 host gene". Lineage: Eukaryota; Metazoa; Chordata; Mammalia; Primates; Hominidae. The record is from RNAcentral.